CAUACAUAUAGAUAUAUAUGCAUAACAAAUGAUGAAUCUGUUUGAGCACCUGUUUUAUCAAAUAAAUUAUCGAAAGAAGCAAGGAGAUAUGCUGCUCAAUAUAUCACCAGCUAUAGCUCAUACAGCUUGUGAUUUUUAUACAAUACCCUGGGCCUACUGCCAUAAUCGAUAAACUCACACCAUGCUUACUAAUGCUUUUGUCUCCAUCGAUAACCAAUUUAUUAGCCAUCACUACAUUUCGCGAAUCUCUUGUAGAUACAAUUUCAUUCGGUUAGACACUUUGAAGCAAAACAUAAUGAUAAAAAUGGUUAUUGUAGAACUAACCUCUUGAUGUGAUGGUCAGGAGUGUUCAGAAUUUUUAAAAAUAAAAUAAGUGGAUUUAUCUUGCAGAUUUUUUAUUAAAAAUAAGUGGUCUGAACAAAAAAAUCUAUUAAUAAAAAAGAAAAAAUACCUACUAUUAAUUUUCUCACGUGUGAACCGUGAACCUGAUGAUUGGGCAAUAAGACGACAUUAGCUUCUAAGCCGAAUCUGGCGGCUUGUGGCCGCUAUUCCCUCUCUC
RNAcentral lists this long non-coding RNA (559 nucleotides) under Phoenix dactylifera (date palm). Its description in RNAcentral is "long non-coding RNA (PDAC_LNC019229)". The record is from RNAcentral. Lineage: Eukaryota; Viridiplantae; Streptophyta; Magnoliopsida; Arecales; Arecaceae.